Long non-coding RNA from Neopelma chrysocephalum (saffron-crested tyrant-manakin), 754 nucleotides. RefSeq lists it as uncharacterized. NCBI's taxonomy places the organism in Eukaryota, Metazoa, Chordata, Aves, Passeriformes, Pipridae. The record is from RefSeq and is a predicted model, not a curated record. The transcript is spliced from 4 exons.
CGGGAGCGACAGUGGGGCAUCGCAGGCGGUGACCGUGGGGAGGGGACACCGAUCAGGCAUUUCCUCAGCUGCCCAAAAUAGCCGGGAAGCGACCUGCAGUCGCGCAGAGUCGCGCGCUCCGUGGGCAGGCACAGGUGCCGUGCGGGGGAAGAACGGAUGGGGACGACAUGAAGACAAGGUCAGGGAUGGUCUAAGGCAAAACACUGCCGCGUGAAUGAGGGGUAGAUGUCACCAGUCCAGGGCAAUGGUUGCUUUCCGUUAGGGAAACAGCUGGGAGCUCCUGGCAGUUGAAAUGAGUGCUGUCUCGUGCCCUCUGCUCCCCAUCCUUACAGAACAGAGCCUGUUGUGUGGAACCUGUUCAGGCUGGAGAUGGUGGAAAGGCUAAAGUUCAAGUUCACAGACCCAAAAAAGAGAAGAGCCAGAGCUGGAGUUUAAGAAUUUGAGGAAACAUGAUUAUAUCUGUUUAUCAAAAUUUAGUCUCUCCACCUGAUGCUAAAUAAACAAGGCAACAGGUGGUGGCUCUCCCAGGUCACAGACAUCAUCAGCUACAGCAAUCGAUACUCCACUUGUGCCUCUAGUGCCUCCAGUGCAUCUCGUGCAGCCUGGAGCUCUCCUUACAUCUGCUGUUUGUGAGGCAGGCAGAAAGCCGAUCACAGAGGGAGAACAACGCCAGCCACAGGAGUCACUCUUGCCUCCACUUCUGUUACAGCCAAGGAGGAUGAGAAACAUGCUCUUUCCCCUCAGGCAGCCAGAG